UUUUAUGGAGAGUUUGAUCCUGGCUCAGGAUGAACGCUGGCGGCGUGCCUAAUACAUGCAAGUCGAGCGAACGGACGAGAAGCUUGCUUCUCUGAUGUUAGCGGCGGACGGGUGAGUAACACGUGGAUAACCUACCUAUAAGACUGGGAUAACUUCGGGAAACCGGAGCUAAUACCGGAUAAUAUUUUGAACCGCAUGGUUCAAAAGUAAAAGACGGUCUUGCUGUCACUUAUAGAUGGAUCCGCGCUGCAUUAGCUAGUUGGUAAGGUAACGGCUUACCAAGGCAACGAUGCAUAGCCGACCUGAGAGGGUGAUCGGCCACACUGGAACUGAGACACGGUCCAGACUCCUACGGGAGGCAGCAGUAGGGAAUCUUCCGCAAUGGGCGAAAGCCUGACGGAGCAACGCCGCGUGAGUGAUGAAGGUCUUCGGAUCGUAAAACUCUGUUAUUAGGGAAGAACAUAUGUGUAAGUAACUGUGCACAUCUUGACGGUACCUAAUCAGAAAGCCACGGCUAACUACGUGCCAGCAGCCGCGGUAAUACGUAGGUGGCAAGCGUUAUCCGGAAUUAUUGGGCGUAAAGCGCGCGUAGGCGGUUUUUUAAGUCUGAUGUGAAAGCCCACGGCUCAACCGUGGAGGGUCAUUGGAAACUGGAAAACUUGAGKGCAGAAGAGGAAAGUGGAAUUCCAUGUGUAGCGGUGAAAUGCGCAGAGAUAUGGAGGAACACCAGUGGCGAAGGCGACUUUCUGGUCUGUAACUGACGCUGAUGUGCGAAAGCGUGGGGAUCAAACAGGAUUAGAUACCCUGGUAGUCCACGCCGUAAACGAUGAGUGCUAAGUGUUAGGGGGUUUCCGCCCCUUAGUGCUGCAGCUAACGCAUUAAGCACUCCGCCUGGGGAGUACGACCGCAAGGUUGAAACUCAAAGGAAUUGACGGGGACCCGCACAAGCGGUGGAGCAUGUGGUUUAAUUCGAAGCAACGCGAAGAACCUUACCAAAUCUUGACAUCCUUUGACAACUCUAGAGAUAGAGCCUUCCUCUUCGGGGGACAAAGUGACAGGUGGUGCAUGGUUGUCGUCAGCUCGUGUCGUGAGAUGUUGGGUUAAGUCCCGCAACGAGCGCAACCCUUAAGCUUAGUUGCCAUCAUUAAGUUGGGCACUCUAAGUUGACUGCCGGUGACAAACCGGAGGAAGGUGGGGAUGACGUCAAAUCAUCAUGCCCCUUAUGAUUUGGGCUACACACGUGCUACAAUGGACAAUACAAAGGGCAGCGAAACCGCGAGGUCAAGCAAAUCCCAUAAAGUUGUUCUCAGUUCGGAUUGUAGUCUGCAACUCGACUACAUGAAGCUGGAAUCGCUAGUAAUCGUAGAUCAGCAUGCUACGGUGAAUACGUUCCCGGGUCUUGUACACACCGCCCGUCACACCACGAGAGUUUGUAACACCCGAAGCCGGUGGAGUAACCUUUUAGGAGCUAGCCGUCGAAGGUGGGACAAAUGAUUGGGGUGAAGUCGUAACAAGGUAGCCGUAUCGGAAGGUGCGGCUGGAUCACCUCCUUUCUAA
RNAcentral lists this ribosomal RNA (1557 nucleotides) under Staphylococcus aureus. Its description in RNAcentral is "16S ribosomal RNA". It matches the Rfam family "Bacterial small subunit ribosomal RNA". Lineage: Bacteria; Bacillati; Bacillota; Bacilli; Caryophanales; Staphylococcaceae. The record is from RNAcentral.